UGGAUUCUGAGACACGAAUCCAGGCCCUACGGGGUGCAGCAGGCGCGAAAACUUUACAAUGCUGGCAACAGCGAUAAGGGAACCUCGAGUGCCAGGUUACAAAUCUGGCUGUCGAGAUGCCUAAAAAGCAUUUCAUAGCAAGGGCCGGGCAAGACCGGUGCCAGCCGCCGCGGUAACACCGGCGGCUCGAGUGGUAACCGUUAUUAUUGGGUCUAAAGGGUCUGUAGCCGGCCGGAUAAGUCUCUUGAGAAAUCUGGCAGCUUAACUGUCAGGCUUUCAGGAGAUACUGUCUGGCUCGAGGCCGGGAGAGGUGAGAGGUACUUCAGGGGUAGGGGUGAAAUCUUGUAAUCCUUGAAGGACCACCAGUGGCGAAGGCGUCUCACCAGAACGGACCUGACGGCAAGGGACGAAAGCUAGGGGCACGAACCGGAUUAGAUACCCGGGUAGUCCUAGCCGUAAACGAUACUCGCUAGGUGUCGGCCACGGUGCGACCGU
This 495-nucleotide ribosomal RNA is filed under the name uncultured archaeon. RNAcentral describes it as "bacterial SSU rRNA". It matches the Rfam family "Archaeal small subunit ribosomal RNA", at positions 297 to 792 of the family's 1478-position model. The record is from RNAcentral.